AUGGCAUGGUCAGAGGCUGCUGUGGGCAUCACACGCCCCGCUGUUGUUUUUGUUGUGAUGUGUGACGUGCGUUUGGAGAUUGCAUAUUUCCCCUGCUCCAUGGAAGGUGCACACUCUCGGGCUGAUUGCAAUCAGGCUGAUUGGUGGCCCAGGCCCGCUUCUCCUGCUGGUGCGGUGGUUGGGCUCAUGGUUCUGUGCUCUGCCCUACAAACUUUCCUCCCUCACCAUGUUCCCCUUGAACUUCCUCCUACCCAGCAGAUGGCCCCCCAGCCCAUCAUCCCUUCUCUUGGGCUGAGACCAGGCCUGCAGCCUGGGCCUACAGCCAGGAGGAGCCACCCUGGAAAGAGGCUGGGCAGGGGGCCAGGUGCCCCAGGACAGCCCCCCAGAGCCCAUGGCAGACAUUCCAGCCCCCAAACCCUAUUCCUCCCCCUGGAAACAGCCCUCCUCCCAGCUCAGGCAAAACCUCAGGUUCAAGUCUGCCUCUUAGCCACACUCUGAGA
This 500-nucleotide long non-coding RNA is filed under the name Capra hircus (goat). RNAcentral's name for it is "lncRNA (ENSCHIG00010014131.1)". The record is from RNAcentral. Lineage: Eukaryota; Metazoa; Chordata; Mammalia; Artiodactyla; Bovidae.